CAGGCUUAACACAUGCAAGUCGAGGGGCAUCAGGAAGAAAGCUUGCUUUCUUUGCUGGCGACCGGCGCACGGGUGAGUAACACGUAUCCAACCUGCCCUUUACUCGGGGAUAGCCUUUCGAAAGAAAGAUUAAUACCCGAUAGCAUAAUGAUUCCGCAUGGUUUCAUUAUUAAAGGAUUCCGGUAAAGGAUGGGGAUGCGUUCCAUUAGGUUGUUGGUGAGGUAACGGCCCACCAAGCCUUCGAUGGAUAGGGGUUCUGAGAGGAAGGUCCCCCACAUUGGAACUGAGACACGGUCCAAACUCCUACGGGAGGCAGCAGUGAGGAAUAUUGGUCAAUGGGCGCUAGCCUGAACCAGCCAAGUAGCGUGAAGGAUGAAGGCUCUAUGGGUCGUAAACUUCUUUUAUAUAAGAAUAAAGUGCAGUAUGUAUACUGUUUUGUAUGUAUUAUAUGAAUAAGGAUCGGCUAACUCCGUGCCAGCAGCCGCGGUAAUACGGAGGAUCCGAGCGUUAUCCGGAUUUAUUGGGUUUAAAGGGAGCGUGGGUGGACUGGUAAGUCAGUUGUGAAAGUUUGCGGCUCAACCGUAAAAUUGCAGUUGAUACUGUCAGUCUUGAGUACAGUAGAGGUGGGCGGAAUUCGUGGUGUAGCGGUGAAAUGCUUAGAUAUCACGAAGAACUCCGAUUGCGAAGGCAGCUCACUGGACUGCAACUGACACUGAUGCUCGAAAGUGUGGGUAUCAAACAGGAUUAGAUACCCUGGUAGUCCACACAGUAAACGAUGAAUACUCGCUGUUUGCGAUAUACAGUAAGCGGCCAAGCGAAAGCAUUAAGUAUUCCACCUGGGGAGUACGCCGGCAACGGUGAAACUCAAAGGAAUUGACGGGGGCCCGCACAAGCGGAGGAACAUGUGGUUUAAUUCGAUGAUACGCGAGGAACCUUACCCGGGCUUAAAUUGCAGUGGAAUGAUGUGGAAACAUGUCAGUGAGCAAUCACCGCUGUGAAGGUGCUGCAUGGUUGUCGUCAGCUCGUGCCGUGAGGUGUCGGCUUAAGUGCCAUAACGAGCGCAACCCUUAUCUUUAGUUACUAACAGGUUAUGCUGAGGACUCUAGAGAGACUGCCGUCGUAAGAUGUGAGGAAGGUGGGGAUGACGUCAAAUCAGCACGGCCCUUACGUCCGGGGCUACACACGUGUUACAAUGGGGGGUACAGAAGGCAGCUAGCGGGUGACCGUAUGCUAAUCCCAAAAUCCUCUCUCAGUUCGGAUCGAAGUCUGCAACCCGACUUCGUGAAGCUGGAUUCGCUAGUAAUCGCGCAUCAGCCACGGCGCGGUGAAUACGUUCCCGGGCCUUGUACACACCGCCCGUCAAGCCAUGGGAGCCGGGGGUACCUGAAGUACGUAACCGCAAGGAUCGUCCUAGGGUAAAACUGGUGACUGG
RNAcentral lists this ribosomal RNA (1432 nucleotides) under uncultured organism. Its description in RNAcentral is "16S ribosomal RNA". It matches the Rfam family "Bacterial small subunit ribosomal RNA". The record is from RNAcentral.